Molecule: ribosomal RNA, 551 nt
Filed under: uncultured Glomeromycotina
Lineage: Eukaryota; Fungi; Glomeromycota
Description: SSU rRNA
Rfam family: Eukaryotic small subunit ribosomal RNA
Source: RNAcentral
UUGGAGGGCAAGUCUGGUGCCAGCAGCCGCGGUAAUUCCAGCUCCAAUAGCGUAUAUUAAAGUUGUUGCAGUUAAAAAGCUCGUAGUUGAAUUUCGGAAUCCAUCCGUCGGUCGGGCCUCACGGUCCGCACUGGUGUGAUGGAUUUCUACCUUCUGAAUAACCAGCAUGUCAUUAAUUUGGUGCGUUGGGGAAGCAGGACUGUUACCUUGAAAAAAUUAGAGUGCUUAAAGCAGGCUAGUGCCUGAAUACAUUAGCAUGGAAUAAUGAAAUAGGACGGCAUGGUUCUAUUUUGUUGGUUUCUAGGAUCAACGUAAUGAUUAAUAGGGAUAGUUGGGGGCAUUAGUAUUCAAUUGUCAGAGGUGAAAUUCUUGGAUUUAUUGAAGACUAACUUCUGCGAAAGCAUUUGCCAAGGAUGUUUUCAUUAAUCAAGAACGAAAGUUAGGGGAUCGAAGACGAUCAGAUACCGUCGUAGUCUUAACCAUAAACUAUGCCGACUAGGGAUCGGACGAUGUUAAUUUUUUAAUGACUCGUUCGGCGCCUUACGGGAAAC